Molecule: long non-coding RNA, 658 nt
Organism: Chelonia mydas (Green sea turtle)
Lineage: Eukaryota; Metazoa; Chordata; Testudines; Cheloniidae
Exons: 3
Source: RefSeq, a predicted model, not a curated record
GACCUUAUAAAGACAUCUUUGCUGAAAAGUCUUUCAGUGCCCAGCCGGUGAGAUCAUUACACACUUAGGAGAUUUACUGUGAAGUUUAAUGAUAACUGCACUCUCAUCUAUUGAGUAAAAGGAAGAUCUGUUGCUCCUUCUUGAAACCUGCAGAAUGGAAAUUACCUGGUUAGAAAAUUUUCACAAUUUUUACCCCACUUUUUAUCCAAAUCCCACCAAUGAACUUCUACAUGAAAUAAAAAAUGCAAUAGAUGCCUAUUACAUGCAGUAGAAGCUAUUGCAUGUCAUAGACCACUACCUGGACAGCAAAAAUGAAGCCUAAUCCCUGUGACCCAAAAACCCCUCAGUACCAAUUGGCAAGAAGGUACAAGAAUAUCUUGGUUCACCAAAGAAUAUCAUACAAGGAUCAAAGGAAAGCCAGUGUCAUGUUGGUUAUGAAUAUCAUUGUAAAAGGUAUGUACUGCUAUUGGAGGGUUGCCAAGUUUUCAAUUUCUCAAAACAGGACACUACAAAACUGAACCCUCCUGCCCCCAACCAAAGCUCAACUCACCAUAAAGAGAAGAGGGAUGCUGAAGGGGACCAUGUCUCUCCUGCUCCUUCCAGCAGCAGCUCUGAGGCAGAGUUCAAAGGGAGAUAUGGGGGCAGGAAGCGGGGGGGA